Molecule: unclassified non-coding RNA, 350 nt
Filed under: plant metagenome
Description: partial contains 5.8S ribosomal RNA, internal transcribed spacer 2, and large subunit ribosomal RNA
Rfam family: 5.8S ribosomal RNA (bases 1-105)
Source: RNAcentral
GAAAUGCGAUAAGUAAUGUGAAUUGCAGAAUUCAGUGAAUCAUCGAAUCUUUGAACGCACCUUGCGCUCCUUGGUAUUCCGAGGAGCAUGCCUGUUUUAGUGUCAUGGAAUUCUCAACUCUAUUUGCUUUUGUGAAUAGAGCUUGGAUUUGGAGGUUUAUUGCUGGUACUUGUGAUCGGCUCCUCUUGAAUGCAUUAGCUCGAACCUUUGCGGAUCAGCUAUCGGUGUGAUAAUUGUCUACGCCGUUGCAGUGAAGCAUAUCAAUGGGCUCGGCUUCCAAUCGUCCUUUACUGGACAAUGACUUUGACCUUUGACCUCAAAUCAGGUAGGAUUACCCGCUGAACUUAAGC